GGGGAUGACAGGAUUCGAUAGAUGGAUUUUGUUGCCAUACAUAUGCGUGUCGAGGACGCCUUUCCCUCGUUAAAAAAGGGCAAACGAAUACGUGCAAACGUUUUCAAUCGGGUAAAGAACGCUGUAGCUCGCGCUUUCAGUGUUCCGACACUCGCUACCGCUGUAGCGUAAUUGCCACGGCCAUUGCCUCCGUGAUACUCGAUAGCGAAUCGGCAGUGUAAACUUUUCGAGCGUAGGACUUUGUCCCCUCCUGAGGACAUUGUCUGAACCAUUGUCAGGAUCAGCCGCGCGUGAUUUUGCUAUUUUUUAUCGCUCGGUGAAACACCAAAAUGGCUAUGCAUGUAGAGUAUGUUGGUAGCCUGUCUAGACCCGGGUUCAAUUCCCGGCAUCUCCACUA
This 397-nucleotide transfer-messenger RNA is filed under the name Candidatus Magasanikiibacteriota bacterium. RNAcentral's name for it is "Candidatus Magasanikbacteria bacterium transfer-messenger RNA". It matches the Rfam family "transfer-messenger RNA". From Rfam's summary of the family: Bacterial tmRNA, also known as 10Sa RNA or SsrA, is named for its dual tRNA and mRNA-like properties. Its role is to liberate the mRNA from a stalled ribosome. Lineage: Bacteria; Candidatus Magasanikiibacteriota. The record is from RNAcentral.